AUUGCCAGGGUGGAUUUGAUGGGGUGGUAUCUUCAGGUUGGCAUUGCCAGGGUGGAAUUGCCAGGGUGGGUUUGCUGGGGUGGGUUUGCCAGGGCAGAAUUGCCAGGGUGGAUUUGAUGGGGUGGUAUUUUCAGGUUGGCAUUGCCAGGGCAGAAUUGCCAGGGUGGAUUUGCCAGGGCAGAAUUGCCAGGAUGGAUUUGCCAGGGCAGAAUUGCCAGGGUGGCUUUUCCAGGGUGGAUUUGCUGGGGUGGGUUUUUUUCAGGUUGGCACUGCCAGGGUGGAUUUGCUGGGGUGGUUUUGCCAGGGCAGAAUUACCAGGGUGG
Long non-coding RNA from Lepidothrix coronata (blue-crowned manakin), 323 nucleotides. RefSeq lists it as uncharacterized. The record is from RefSeq and is a predicted model, not a curated record. The transcript has 3 exons. Lineage: Eukaryota; Metazoa; Chordata; Aves; Passeriformes; Pipridae.